UACGGGGGGAGCAAGCGUUGUUCGGAUUUACUGGGCGUAAAGGGCGCGUAGGCUGCGGGGCAAGUCGGGUGUGAAAUCUCAGAGCUCAACUCUGAAACUGCACUCGAUACUGCUUUGCUUGAGGACUGGAGAGGAGAUUGGAAUUCACGGUGUAGCAGUGAAAUGCGUAGAUAUCGUGAGGAAGACCAGUGGCGAAGGCGGAUCUCUGGACAGUUCCUGACGCUGAGGCGCGAAGGCCAGGGGAGCAAACGGG
Molecule: ribosomal RNA, 253 nt
Filed under: uncultured bacterium
Lineage: Bacteria
Description: partial 16S ribosomal RNA
Rfam family: Bacterial small subunit ribosomal RNA
Source: RNAcentral